Molecule: RNase P RNA, 393 nt
Filed under: Nitrospirota bacterium
Lineage: Bacteria; Pseudomonadati; Nitrospirota
Also listed under: 1 other name
Description: Nitrospirae bacterium (volcano metagenome) RNase P RNA component class A
Rfam family: Bacterial RNase P class A
About the family: Ribonuclease P (RNase P) is a ubiquitous endoribonuclease, found in archaea, bacteria and eukarya as well as chloroplasts and mitochondria. Its best characterised activity is the generation of mature 5'-ends of tRNAs by cleaving the 5'-leader elements of precursor-tRNAs. Cellular RNase Ps are ribonucleoproteins.
Source: RNAcentral
CAGAGCAGGGAAGUGGUCGCUCGGCUUUGAUUUUUAAUCAUAGCCGAGAGGAAAGUCCGAACUCCGCAGGGCAAGGCGCUCCGUAAUACGGAGUGGGGGAAACCCUAAGGAAAGUGCCACAGAAAGGGAAACCGUCCCGACUUUGUCGGAAUAAGGGUGAAAAGGUGAGGUAAGAGCUCACCAGUUGGGGUGGUAACACCUCAAGCUUGGUAAACCCCGCCUGGAGCAAGGUCAAAUAGGUUCCGCCUUGAGAAGGGCCCCUUCGAAUCCUGACCUGCAUAAUGGAAUCAGGGAGGCGGAACGGGUAAGGACUGCAAGAGUCUGAUGGCAACAUAAGACCUUAGAUGAAUGACCACACAUAUACAGAACUCGGCUUACAGCCUGCUCUGACUU